AGAGUUUGAUCCUGGCUCAGGAUGAACGCUAGCUACAGGCUUAACACAUGCAAGUCGAGGGGUAGCAGGGUAGCAAUACCGCUGACGACCGGCGCACGGGUGAGUAACGCGUAUCCAACCUUCCGUUUACUCUUGAAUAACCUUCUGAAAGGGAGACUAAUGCAAGAUAGCAUCAUGAGGAUUCAUGUUCACAUGAUUAAAGAUUUAUCGGUAACCGAUGGGGAUGCGUUCCAUUAGAUAGUAGGCGGGGUAACGGCCCACCUAGUCUUCGAUGGAUAGGGGUUCUGAGAGGAAGGUCCCCCACACUGGAACUGAGACACGGUCCAGACUCCUACGGGAGGCAGCAGUGAGGAAUAUUGGUCAAUGGGCGAGAGCCUGAACCAGCCAAGUAGCGUGAAGGAUGAAGGUUCUAUGGAUUGUAAACUUCUUUUACAUGGGAAUAAAGUCGUCUACGUGUAGACGUUUGUAUGUACCAUGUGAAUAAGGACCGGCUAACUCCGUGCCAGCAGCCGCGGUAAUACGGAGGGUCCAAGCGUUAUCCGGAUUUAUUGGGUUUAAAGGGAGCGUAGAUGGGUUGUUAAGUCAGUUGUGAAAGUUUGCGGCUC
Molecule: ribosomal RNA, 605 nt
Filed under: uncultured bacterium
Lineage: Bacteria
Description: bacterial SSU rRNA
Rfam family: Bacterial small subunit ribosomal RNA
Source: RNAcentral